RNAcentral lists this non-coding RNA (24 nucleotides) under Arabidopsis thaliana (thale cress). The record is from RNAcentral. Lineage: Eukaryota; Viridiplantae; Streptophyta; Magnoliopsida; Brassicales; Brassicaceae.
ACAUGUUUUUUGGGGACAAAUUCC